GGUGUUAUGAGGGAAAGCAAGGGAAGAAGGAAGCCAGAAAUAAAGGAAGACAGACGGAAGGAAGGGAGAAAGGAGGGGAAGGAGUUAUGAGGGAAAGGAAGGGAAGAAGGAAGCAG
This is a long non-coding RNA of Anolis carolinensis (green anole), 116 nucleotides long. RefSeq lists it as uncharacterized. The transcript is spliced from 2 exons. The record is from RefSeq and is a predicted model, not a curated record. Lineage: Eukaryota; Metazoa; Chordata; Lepidosauria; Squamata; Anolidae.